CCGCCCGUCACACCAUGGGAGUGGGUUGCAAAAGAAGUWGGUAGCUUAACCUUCGGGAGGGCGCUUACCACUUUGUGAUUCAUGACUGGGGUGAAGUCGUAACAAGGUAACCGUAGGGGAACCUGCGGUUGGAUCACCUCCUUACCUUAAAGAAGC
This 156-nucleotide ribosomal RNA is filed under the name Escherichia coli. RNAcentral's name for it is "partial 16S ribosomal RNA". Lineage: Bacteria; Pseudomonadati; Pseudomonadota; Gammaproteobacteria; Enterobacterales; Enterobacteriaceae. The record is from RNAcentral.